CAACGAGCCAAUUGCAGGGCUCUGGGAGACCAGGAGCGGUUCGGAGAGAGGCAGAGACGAGAGCCGAAGCCUGGCCAACUAAAAAGCGCGGAGAAGUUUAUGGGCGGAAGCGCCGACCUAUCCAGCUGUUGGGUGCCGGAAGAGGACGGACCUAAGAUGGCGGCGCCCACAGAUGCCGGGAAGAACCGCUCAUGUCGGGGAACGCAGCGGUGUGGGGGCGGGUGCGGAGCCGCCUCCGCGCCUUCCCCGAACGCCUGUCAGCCUGUGGGGCCGAGGCCGCGGCCUACGGCCGGUGCGUGCAGGCGUCCACGGCCCCGGGCGGCCGCCUGAGGAAGGACCUCUGUGCGCAGGAGUUCGAGGCCCUGCGGAGCUGCUUCCUUGCCGCGGCCAAGAAGACCCAGAAGGGAGGCCAUUAGGAAGGAGGAGGACUGUGCUUGACAUCCAUUUGCUGCCCAAGGGCACAGAGCCAGGCACCUUGUCCUGACGGCCCCAAGGGGCAAACAUCUAACGUUCUUAGGGCUAAAAGGACCUCAAUGUGUAUGCUGAGCCCAAGGCAAAGAGGAAGCGGUUUUCUGUAUUAGAAUAAGAUGCCGUGAACCAACAAUAAAGACGUGAAUCAACAAUAAAGAUGGCAGCAGAUCACGCGGGAUCCCUCUUUUGUGCAUUUUCACCAGUAUGUCAUCUCAAUCCAAUGGAGCAUCUAGAUGUAUCUCAGUUGACAGAAUGUACCAGAGACAACAGCGACACCGUGAGGCAGAGUUCCGCUCUGCGAGGAAUCCCAUACCCAGGCAUGCUCUUCUAGACUAAGGCAGUGAAGACAGGUGUGAGCCAAGAGGGGUUUUGGUUUAGGAAGCCAGUGAGGCUGGCCAAAGCUGCAGGCUCCCCUCCCCGCGUGGGCUGGCUGCUCACCAUUCCACAGCCUCCUUCGGAGUCAGUGCAAGCCCAUCCGGGCCACAGCUCCCAGCCUCCCUAGUGCCACACCCCCCUCCCCGCUUGUCCUGAGAAUAAGGUUAGGGGUGCAGCACCGCCCCUCCCAACACACAUGGGCACAGGCAGGCCCCGCGACAAUGGGCAGCGCCCUCAGUGCCCACUGCCCUGAACACCACCUGCCGGGUGCAUGGGGACUGUGCUCCAAAGAGCAUCCUCCCAGGGACCUGGAGGGCACACUGUCCUUGGGCCCACCCAGCCCCUGGCGUCCAGAGCCCCCUGCCAGGAGCCGAGGUCUGCACUCCCUUUUUCUCAAGUGAACACAACUCCACAAUUAGCCUGACUCCCCCCAUGCGGAGAGCAUCACAUCUCAGACGUGAGCGUCCGCCUCAGUGAAGAGGAGAAGCUGGCCGCUAUCAAGGGCUCUGUCCUGCUGGGCAGAGUCACAUCUCACGGGAACCACUGGAAUUAAGGUCCAGAAACUGGUGACACGACCCCCCUGCCCCUGCUGGGGUGACGGGAGGCCCCCAGAUAGCUCGAGGGCCUACGGGAGGAAGGGGUGAGCCAGGGAAGCGGGCUUCCUAGGAGCCCCCCGAGCACAGCUGUGCAGUCUCCACUGCCCAGCCGCGUAUUGCCACCCGGCCGGCGCACCCAGCCUUCCUGGGCAGACUUCUCUUCCCGACCCUCCUGCCCUCCACUCCGACCCUCGACAGCUUGUCGGCUAGAGCUUCCCGUAUCUUCGCUGGGCACACCCACUCCAGCCCUUCCAGAACUGUCCCCCCAGGUGCUGUCUCCUGCGUCCUUUCAAUCUCCAAUGCACUGGGGCAGAUGGAGUCCCCACGUCUCACAUCUCACACAGGGCCAGCCCGCGCUCCAUGUCAGACUCCCUUCCGACCUCCGCGGCCUUCAUCCCUGCUCCUCUGGCCUCCCCCAACUCACUUCAUCUUCAAGACUACAUUUAUAGAAGGGAGUUCAACAAAGUUGGCGUGGGGUGCAGCAAAGACAACUUCCGCCACCUCUACAGCCGGUCAUCGCGUAGAACUCAUCAUGUGCGGCUCCAUGCCGUUCGCCUGUCUUGGCCCUCAGGCAAGGGCCUCUGAAUUCACUGAGGACUCAGCUCCACUGGGGUUCCCUCCUCGCUCGGUGGAGGCCGACAUGGCCUUGGCCCAGCUCCUUUGCGCCCAGUUGGCUUGGUGGCCCCACUCUAGAAUGGGAGCCCUGCAGGCAGGGUUGCGUCCAGGGCAGACCUGGCCCGUCUGCUGCGAUCAGUAGCCAACACUGAGGGUGGCC
Molecule: long non-coding RNA, 2217 nt
Filed under: Equus caballus (horse)
Lineage: Eukaryota; Metazoa; Chordata; Mammalia; Perissodactyla; Equidae
Description: lncRNA (ENSECAG00000055916.1)
Source: RNAcentral